This 435-nucleotide ribosomal RNA is filed under the name uncultured bacterium. RNAcentral's name for it is "partial 16S ribosomal RNA". It matches the Rfam family "Bacterial small subunit ribosomal RNA", at positions 28 to 507 of the family's 1533-position model. The record is from RNAcentral.
GAUGAACGCUGGCGGUAUGCUUAACACAUGCAAGUCGAACGGACUCUUCGGAGUUAGUGGCGGACGGGUGAGUAACGCGUGAGAAUCUGGCUUUGGGUUCGGGACAACCACUGGAAACGGUGGCUAAUACCGGAUGUGCCGAGAGGUAAAAGAUAAAUUGCCUGAAGAUGAGCUCGCGUCUGAUUAGCUAGUUGGUGAGGUAAAGGCUCACCAAGGCAGCGAUCAGUAGCUGGUCUGAGAGGAGGACCAGCCACACUGGGACUGCGAAACGGCCCAGACUCCUCCGGGAGGAAGCAGUGGGGAAUUUUCCGCAAUGGGCGAAAGCCUGCCGGAGCAAUACCGCGUGAGGGAAGAAGGCUCUUGGGUUGAAAAACUCUUUUCUUAGGAAAGAACAAAAUGACGGUACCUAAGGAAUAAGCAUCGGCUAACUCCGUG